This is a long non-coding RNA of Xyrauchen texanus (razorback sucker), 1563 nucleotides long. RefSeq lists it as uncharacterized. The transcript has 3 exons. NCBI's taxonomy places the organism in Eukaryota, Metazoa, Chordata, Actinopteri, Cypriniformes, Catostomidae. The record is from RefSeq and is a predicted model, not a curated record.
UAGUGCAGAACUUCUUAUAUUUUCUUUCCACAGCCACUGUUUCAUUUUAACUGCGCGCGAGACCUCCGUAAGUCCACAGCGCGAGCCUUUCACGCGCCGCAACUCAUCCAGAGGCGCGCAGAGAAAACAUGAGCUUGGCCGCUUUAUAGCUCUCCUGAGGCCGAUAAGCGCGACCUGACCCCCUUAAAUAAGAGAGAAGUGUGGUUCAGGUCUGGGUUUCACCUCCCUAAGGGGGGUACAAAAUGAGGGAAGGACUGAAAGGGAGAAAGGACGAGAAGAGCAGAAGAAAGAAAGUCAUGCACAUCUGGGAUGGAUUGAGGGACUCCUAUCCUGAGGUCACCAGAACUGGCUGGAUCCAGCACCAUUCAUGCAUGAUGAUGAACGAUGAUGACUAAAUGCAGCCGAUGCCAGCCAAACAUCACUUCAGUCUAUUAUGAUGGGCCUCAGAGGAUUAACUGAUGCCAACUCUAACCAUAAGACAUGGGAUACUUCAUAUGCCAUUGUCUGAACCUUGGAUUUAGGAUAGACCACACCGAACCUCACAGAAAUCACCGGCCAGGUUGAACUGCGUUUCACAUCCCUGAUCUCUGCCUGCAUCACCUCGGUCUAUUGAUGGACUACGAUCUUGAAAUGGAAUGCAUAGACUUUAAUCAUUAAUCUUACAGUUCAAACAAAAUCGAUGUUUAAACACUGACCCUUAACACUUACUUAGUUUAAUAAUUUUAAACCAUGACUUUAACUAUACAUAAGUAAUAUUGGCAUUAUAUUCAUGAUGUUAGCCAGAGCGGAACUGGCCCCCACAGUGAGUCUGGUUUCUCCCAAGGUUAUUUUUCUCCAUUAAUCAACAUCUUAUGGAGUUUUGUGUUCCUUGCCACAGUCACCUUCGGCUUACUCACUGGGGUUAUUAAUACAAUUAUUAUUUAAUUACUUAUUUUUAAACAGGAUAAACAAUCAUAUUUUAUCUAUUUACACGAUGAUUCAUCGACAUUAUAGACAUUCGUUUUAUCAUCCGUUAAUGUCUUAUCUUCUGUAAAGCUGCUUUGAAACGAUGUGUGCUGUGGAAGGGGCGGCACGGUGGUGCAGCGGUUAGCACUGUCGCCUCACAGCAAGAAGGUUGUGGGUUCAAACCCUGGUUGCCCCGGCCUUUCUGUGUGGAGUUUGCAUGUUCUCCCCGUGUCUGCGUGGGUUCUCUCCGGCUUCCUCCCACCAUCCAAAAGACAUGCAGGCUAGGUUAAUUGGUGUCUCCAAAAAACAAAAUUGCCCUAGGUGUGGAUGUGAGUGUAUGUCUGUCUAUGUGUGGCCCUGCGAUGGACUGGCGACCUGUCCAGGGUGUCCCCCGCCUUUCGCCCAAUGUUAGCUGGGAUAGGCUCCAGCCCCCCGCGACCCUGUACACAGGAUAAGCGGUUGACGAUGGAUGGAUGGAUGGAUGACUUGAUUUGACUUGUUGUGCAAGAUGAGUCAUCAAUAUUUUUGGUCCUUUUUCCUGCAGAAAGAUAAUUUUGACCACAUUUAGGAGUCGUAUUUACUAGCAUAUAGAGCACUUCAAAGAUAAUUCUCAUGGAC